RNAcentral lists this ribosomal RNA (233 nucleotides) under uncultured bacterium. RNAcentral's name for it is "partial 16S ribosomal RNA". It matches the Rfam family "Bacterial small subunit ribosomal RNA", at positions 28 to 261 of the family's 1533-position model. The record is from RNAcentral.
GACGAACGCUGGCAGCGUGCUUAACACAUGCAAGUCGAGCGGUAAGGCCCUUUCGGGGGUACGACGAGCGGCGAACGGGUGAGUAACACGUGGGUGACCUGCCCUCAGCUCUGGGAUAAGCCUGGGAAACCGGGUCUAAUACCGGAUAUGACUCCAUGACGCAUGUUGUGGGGUGGAAAGCCUUGUGCGGCUGAGGAUGGGCCCGCGGCCUAUCAGCUUGUUGGUGGGGGGAU